This is a long non-coding RNA of Daucus carota subsp. sativus, 4553 nucleotides long. RefSeq lists it as uncharacterized. The record is from RefSeq and is a predicted model, not a curated record. The transcript is spliced from 4 exons. Lineage: Eukaryota; Viridiplantae; Streptophyta; Magnoliopsida; Apiales; Apiaceae.
UUUUAUUAUUUCAAAAUCUGAAUUUCAACUUUUUUCGCUCUAAUUCACCUUUUUAUUUUCGGUUUACGGCACCUUCUUGGCAUAUCUAAUUUUUGCUAUAUUGCUUAAAUAACAUCCUUUUAAAAUAUUUAUUCUGAUUUUGUUUGUAAAGGUGUUUAUAUUAGUUCACAAUGCUGUUGAAGUUGAAUAUAAUCAGUGCACUGAGUUUUGUAACUCAGAUGAAAGGGUGUGGCAUGUUCUUAUUUUUUCCCUUGUUUUGUUGGUUAAUUAUCUUGCAACGGUCUAAUUUCAACACAUUUACAUAUUUAUUGUAUAUGAUUUUUGUAACCAAAUAUUUAUUGCACUGCACGUGUUUGAUAAAAGAUCUAAAAGGAUAUAUGUGUUUAAACAUCGUAAAUGAUGCUCAUUGAUUUUGAUUAUGCUCUUGUUGCUGUUCUUGAUAGUUAUUCUUCUUCUUGCAUACAAUGAUAAUUCAUAUUCAUUUUUUUAUAUAUUGUACAUAAUCUGCUAGAGUACAACUUACAAGUAUAUAAGUUAACCAUUUUUAUGAUUUUUAAUUCUUAAAUUUUCUGCUUAGGUUGCAAGAGUGUGCGUAGCACAAGGUAUGAUGUCUAAUAUGUAAAUCAUUGUAUAGGUUGCAAUUUACGAAGCAAUGGAACAACAGAGAAUAACCAUAACAAAAGCAAGCAACCUUCAAGACACGAACUUCCACUUGAGCUGCAGCCAAUCCCACUGGAGGCCGCUAUGACAAGUCAAAACCCCUGAAGGUUCAAAUUAACUAUCAUAAUAUAGAUAAUUAGGCUAUCAUAUUUAAAUAUAUUUGAAAUAUAUUUGAGCACCCCAGACUUAUAAAAUAUUAAAAACUAUAUAUGUUUCUGGAUGUUGUGUGUUGUUUCCACUCGCAGGGCCGAUGUGCUUCCUCUUGUUAUCCUGUCAAGGUUUGAUCUUGUAUGUCAUGAUCAAUGACCCUGAUGAUCAAACAGAUUACCACAUUGCUAUAGUUUAUCAAAAGCGUGAAACAACAAUUUCUCCAACGUUCUCUACUGCCCAAUUGAAGUGUUUUUAUUUAUAGAUGUGUAAACUGAGUUUUAUUUGGUAUAACCAACAAUUUUAAUUACAGCUUAGUGCAGAAGCUGGACAAUUGUUGGUGGCAUCAUAUGUUACUUUACACAGAGGUGAUACAGCUCCUGGGAGUAGAAUUGCAUAUUGCAUGAGUGUUUGAUGCUAUACAUCUGAUUUUACCAGGACAAAAUCUAUAUGGUCACUCUUUCCCGUGACCAGACCAAAUCAAGCCCAUUGCAUUAAAAAUAUUACAUAUAUCAAAUUUAGCCACUUCUCCUUAUAUCUUGGAUGUUGGGUUGCAUGUCUUUUAGUUGCAAUUAUUUAUGUUAGUUUAUGUGGGAAGUGGGACUUUGGGUUGCUUAUGCGUAUUAUUAAUGGGAUUUGAAUUGGGAUGAUGCAUUGUACAUGCUCUUUGAUGUUUUUUGGUCAAUUUGUUGAGCACUAUAUCUGCAAACUAUUGAGUUUAGAUCAAAUUGAUUGUUCCAGUGAUUUUACAUUGAUGCAUAUAAAUAACUCCUUAAGCUACCCCCAAGCAAUUCCAUUAUUGCAAGCAAUGUUUAUAAAGUGCAUACAGCUAUUGUUGCGUCUUGAUUUGGUAUGUAUGUUCGGGUAUAUGAAAAGAGAUUGGACACAUAUUCUCCUCCGUAAAUACUCUAUCUAUCUACCUUCAGCACGUGUUAGGUUGAUGUAGUUUAUGUGCCCUGUCAUUUUAUAUUAUGAGCUUCAACUUGCUCAAUUAAAUUGCACUUUCUUUCCAUAGCAAGUCAGGGCUCAAAAUUGUGCUUAAUAACCUGUGAUUUACUAUGUCAACAGACUAAGUUGAUUGUUUGUAUGUUUUAUCGGAUUGGCUGUGAAGAAGCAAAAGACGGUUAAGUAGCGGUCUUUUUUACUUUUAUUAACAAUGUAUCUAAUUGACUGUAACUCUUAUAUAGGUAAGAAUUCAGUAUUAGUUAUUUCAGAACCAUCGAUUUAUCAUUUAUGUACUUAUGUCUCUACGGAUGCUUGAAAUCAACUAAGAGACGAUGGUUGGCUAAUUCAAGGGAUUCUAAAAAAACAAAACUUUAGCAUGUUACACAUGGCUACUCUUAUGGUUCAUUAACUGACUCAUUGCUUUUGUUUUUCUUUUUGUAGUCUUUCUAUCAGAGGUUUUCUUGCAGUUUCUUAAAAUUGCCAGAUGGGAUCACACAGGUAAGUCUUUCAUAAAAAUACCAAAGAGUAGAUUUAGUUCUAACUGAUCAACUUAGUUGUAAUCAACUAUGCAAGCCUAAUUGAAAAGAAAAAGGGUCAGAGAUUAGCUGAAGAGGCUGUCUGAGGAGUGUGAUAAAGUUACAUCAGAAAAUAAUACAAUAAAGAUUGAAGUUUAAGAGACACAUUGUCAUCUUCUUCAUCUCGAAUUACUCAACUUCAUUCUAGCAUAAUGGAGUCCUGUGAUUCAGCCAAGUAUAAUGCAGUUCAAAACAAUGCAAGUGUACCAGUGCCUCCUCGUAAAUUGCUAUAACCUUUUUUGAUAGAUUACUUAUUCUGAAAUUUAUUAGUAUAAAUUCACUGAUCUUUUAUAUUGCUCAACAACGUACAUUGUAAAUUGCUUUGUAGACAGUUCAGGUCAUGUUUCAAAAAUUAGAAAUUUUACAUUCUACCAUUUUGCAUACUGUUGACAGCUUCAAGAUAUGCAGCAAACUUUCCAGUCUCAGUUACAUUUUCUUUAUUAUUAACUUUCCCUAAGAUUUGUCUAAAUUCAGCAAACUUCCAAGUCUGUUUCUGGAACAUCAUAUAUCCAAAUCUUGAAAGUUUGGCGUUGUCAGGACACAUGGAUCAGCCAAGAACUUGCCUUCAUCCUGCACUUCACGACUUAAACUGGGUUUGUGUUUUCCCCCCCAAAAUAUGGUGCAGCAAAUCCAAACACCAAUCUUUCUGCUAAAUGCGGCCUAUGAUUCAUGGCAGGUUAGACACCUUAUGAUUAUGAUCUAGAUAUACUCACUACUGUUUAAUAUUAUUUAUAGACACUAUCAUUGAAGGAGAUAUGUGAUAUGCAAGUAUAAUAUCAAGUCUGUCAUUUGAAUGUGAUACAGGGAGUUUCCUAUAUACGUUUUUGAAGUUGCUGCUAUAAUUAUAUUAGGUGUUGUGAAAAUGCAGUUGAUGUUUGGUUGCAUUAUAAACAACUCCUUUUCCCUUACAUGGCUAGUUUGUGAUGACGAAAACCCUAUCUUAAGACAUAACUUACUGACAUAGAUUAUUUAAAUAUUCUCAAAUUCAAACUAAAUAGACUUGUGGAAAAUAUGCCCGCGGUAGUUGGGCACACUUCCUAGUAUGAGAUAAAAUUGACAAGGUGGUAAAUUCACAAUGUGGGUUUAAGUUCCAGAGUUCUAGUGGAACUUAAGGCUAGUCAAGACAUUGUUGUUAACAGGAUCAGCCAAAUGGUCCAGAAGGUUUUGAAGUGGUCCAACUCCUGUGACCAAAGCUUGGAUGAAGUAACCCAAUAUUGCCAACAUAGCAAGUCUCCCAUUCUUAACCUCCUUUAACUUGAGCUCUUUCAUGGAUUUCUCGUCUUUUCCGAAUCCAAGAGGAUUAAAAAAUGGGCCUCCAGGGUAUGCUGGGUCUCCGGAUCCAGCUAGGCCUUUCUCUAAGCCCAAGAAAUAUUGUUUUCCCAUUGAUCCUGGAUUGUACCAGUCUUGUAAUCUCCUGUGCUCUGCAAAUCCCAUGAGAGCCAUUUCUAGGACAAAGAGUGUGUAGCCAUCAGCCCAGUAGUUGUAAGUUCCUGCUGGAGGAAUGACUCCUGUUUGGAACCAUGGCAAGGCUGUUUCAGCUGGAAUGAGCCCAAGUUUUCCCAAAAUCUCAGGGGCUAUAGCUCCUGCUGCACCCAACAUGGCAAAACGACCAUUGAUGAUCUCUCCAUAGGCUAGCCAUUUGGGCUCGAUGAAUCCUCCGGUUCCUUCAGGGUCGGAAAGUCCCAAGGGGUCAAAACCAAAGUCGCCUGGAAGGCUGUGUAAGCAUUGUCAUGAUCAGCAAUCAGUAAAACAUGUUCUUUGCAUGCAUGCGUAGCUCCCAAAAUAACAAGAAAAAAAAGACUAGUUGUAGACUGCCCAGUAGUAGUUAGUUACCUGCCAUCCAAGUAAGAAAGGCUCUGUUUAGAAGCAAACCACAAUUGUCUGUCUCCUUGCUGAAAAGCAUGUAACAAUAUGUUGUUAAUUUAACUAGGAAUAUGAGAAAUUUAAGUUGAUAUCUUCUUGUAAGGUGAAAAUUUGUAUAAAGUUUGUUCGGAUUAUUAAUUCAACAUGCACAUUUAAUUCAUAUAGAGAUAUGUGACAUGUGAGUGAAGUUACCUUAACAGGUGGAGUGGAAGCAGCCUUGACAACGAAGGAAACUUUCUGGGAUGAAGAUUGUGCUGGUCUUGCAGCAAAGAUCUGCCUUGCAGCUUCCGCAGAAGAGGUGAUCGAUGAAGAUGACAGCACUGGUACUGUAGCCAUCUCACUUGUGUACCGUAUCGAGAUGAG